CCUACGGGAGGCAGCAGUGAGGAAUAUUGGUCAAUGGACGAGAGUCUGAACCAGCCAAGUAGCGUGAAGGAUGACUGCCCUAUGGGUUGUAAACUUCUUUUAUAUGGGAAUAAAAUGUUCCACGUGUGGGAUUUUGUAUGUACCAUAUGAAUAAGGAUCGGCUAACUCCGUGCCAGCAGCCUCGGUAAUACGGAGGAUCCGAGCGUUAUCCGGAUUUAUUGGGUUUAAAGGGAGCGUAGGUGGAUUGUUAAGUCAGUUGUGAAAGUUUGCGGCUCAACCGUAAAAUUGCAGUUGAAACUGGCAGUCUUGAGUACAGUAGAGGUGGGCGGAAUUCGGGGUGUAGCGGUGAAAUGCUUAGAUAUCACGAAGAACUCCGAUUGCGAAGGCAGUUCACUGGACUGCAACUGACACUGAGGCUCGAAAGUGUGGGUAUCAAACAGGAUUAGAUACCCGUGUAGUC
Molecule: ribosomal RNA, 460 nt
Filed under: uncultured bacterium
Lineage: Bacteria
Description: partial 16S ribosomal RNA
Rfam family: Bacterial small subunit ribosomal RNA
Source: RNAcentral